GAGAGUAUAGCUCAGUGGUAGACCAUGUGUUUAGCAUGCACAAGGUCCUGGGUUCAAUCCCCAGUACCUCCA
Camelus ferus (Wild Bactrian camel) is the source of this 72-nucleotide transfer RNA. It matches the Rfam family "tRNA". From Rfam's summary of the family: Transfer RNA (tRNA) molecules are approximately 80 nucleotides in length. Their secondary structure includes four short double-helical elements and three loops (D, anti-codon, and T loops). NCBI's taxonomy places the organism in Eukaryota, Metazoa, Chordata, Mammalia, Artiodactyla, Camelidae. The record is from Rfam.